Molecule: long non-coding RNA, 1004 nt
Organism: Bos taurus (domestic cattle)
Lineage: Eukaryota; Metazoa; Chordata; Mammalia; Artiodactyla; Bovidae
Source: Ensembl
GGGGAGAUAACUUGAAGAUGUCAGAGCACUGAGGUUAAGUGGAAGAGCAGGUACACACAGCCCUCCCUCUUCAGGCUUCCUGCUCUGCCGUGUUCUUUUUCGUUUAUUAUUAACGUGCAGUUGGUUUACAGUGUUGUAUUAAUUUCUGCUGCACAGAAAAGUAAUUCAGUUAUACAUAUACGUACAUUUUUCCAUAUUCUCUUCCAUUACAGUUUAUCACAGGAUGUUGAGUGUUUCCUGUGCUCAACAACAAGACCUUGUUUUGUGUCUCCUCUGUGUAUAAUGUUUUGGCAUCUACUCAUCCCAAACCCCCAAUUCAUCCUUCUCCCAUCCCACUGCCCCUGGCAGCCAUGAGUCUGUUCUCCUUAUGAGUGUGCUUCUGUCUCGUACAUAAGUUCUUUUGUGUUGUAUUUUACAUUUGCCAGAUAAGUGAUAUCAGAGGGUACUUGUCUUUCUCUCUCUGACUUCUUCACUUACUAUGAUAAUCUCUAGGCCCAUCCAUGUGGUGGCUAAAAUGAUGGCUGCAUUCUUUUGUAUGGCUGUGUCGUAUUCCAUUGUGGGCGUCUGCCACAUCUUUAUCCUUUCGUCCAUCAGUGGACAUUUGGGUUGUUCGCAUGUCUUGGCUGUUGUGAGCAGUACUGCUGUGAACGUAGGGUAUGUGGUUCUGCCAUCUUCUAUAAACAUCCAAAGUGCUCUGAGUACAGCAGAGCAGGACGUUUGAUGACCACUCUGUGGUUAGACAUGGGGAGUCCUUGCCAGUGUGAUGUUCCUCUCCUUUGCAUUUUAACGACGUGUUCUUUUCUCUGUGGCAAAGCUCAUCCACCAACAGAAACUUUUGGAGAAAAUUGCUCAGACUCAUUUAUCAUAAUGAUCUUUACUCUUUUAAUCUUACGCAUAUAUGUGUAGAUUUACGUAAUCACGAAACAUUAUUUUGUAUUGUGCUGUUGGAAUUGUGCUCUGAGUCUUUGCAAUUAUCAUAAUACUUUGUAAUAUUCCUUUCUUAC